RNAcentral lists this ribosomal RNA (200 nucleotides) under uncultured eukaryote. RNAcentral's name for it is "partial 18S ribosomal RNA". It matches the Rfam family "Eukaryotic small subunit ribosomal RNA", at positions 588 to 791 of the family's 1831-position model. The record is from RNAcentral.
GCUCCAAUAGCGUAUAUUAAAGUUGUUGCGGUUAAAAAGCUCGUAGUUGGAUUUCUGUUGAGGAGGUCCGGUCCGCAUCUUAGUGCGUGUAUCUGGUUCCGCCUUGGCAUCUUCUUGUGGAACGCGUUGCGAUUGAUUUCGUGACCGGUACAUAAGACAUUUACUUUGAGGAAAUUAGAGUGUUUCAGGCAGCUUGCGCC